Molecule: ribosomal RNA, 250 nt
Filed under: uncultured prokaryote
Description: partial 16S ribosomal RNA
Rfam family: Bacterial small subunit ribosomal RNA
Source: RNAcentral
UACGUAGGUUGCGAGCGUUGUCCGGAUUUACUGGGUGUAAAGGGCGCGUAGGCGGGAAUGCAAGUCAGGUGUGAAGUCUAUGGGCUCAACCCAUAAACUGCACUUGAAACUGCGUUUCUUGAGUGUCGGAGAGGUAGAUGGAAUUCCUAGUGUAGCGGUGAAAUGCGUAGAUAUUAGGAGGAACACCAGUAGCGAAGGCGAUCUACUGGACGAUAACUGACGCUGGGGCGCGAAAGCGUUGGGAGCAAAC